GCGCGGAGCGAAGGAGGAUGCGGUUGUCAAGGCGACGUGGGUCGGAGGAGGGGAAGAGGACGAGGGAGGAGGAAGGAUGGGCGGCCUGGGCGUAGCGGCGGGGAGGUGACUGAAGUGAGCCCAGCCCCUUGCAUCCUCCCCUGUGUACCUCCCUCGCCUUUUAUUCCGCCUUCUGCCGACCGAAGCCUCAGACGCAGCACCUGAGCCGUUACUGCCGCUCGCUCGGGACACCGCGAUGGCUGCGCCCGGCCACAGCCACCAUCCCUCUGCCAGAGGCAGGGGAAGAACUGAGAGGUGCACUCCCCGGCUUCUGCCGCUGCUGCUCUGGGCUGCUGCCACCUUCCAGGUGACCCAGGGAACCGGAGCUGAGCUUCACGCCUGCAAAGAGUCCGAGUACCACUAUGAGUACACUGCGUGUGACAGCACGGGUUCCAGGUGGAGGGUCGCGGUGCCGCACACCCCAGGCCUCUGCACCAGCCUCCCUGACCCCGUCAAGGGCACCGAGUGCUCCUUCUCAUGCAAUGCCGGGGAGUUUCUGGACAUGAAGGACCAGUCAUGUAAGCCAUGUGCCGAGGGCCGCUACUCCCUUGGCACGGGCAUUCGGUUCGACGAGUGGGAUGAGCUGCCCCAUGGCUUUGCCAGCCUCUCGGCCAACAUGGAGAUUGAUGACGGCAUCACUGAGUCCACUGAAAACUGCACAUCGUCCAAGUGGGUUCCCCGGGGCGACUACAUCGCCUCCAACACGGACGAGUGCACAGCCACGCUCAUGUAUGCCGUCAACCUGAAGCAGUCCGGCACCGUCAACUUCGAGUACUACUAUCCCGACUCCAGCAUCAUCUUCGAGUUUUUUGUUCAGAAUGACCAGUGCCAGCCCAGUGCCGAUGACUCCCGGUGGAUGAAAACCACAGAGAAAGGAUGGGAAUUCCACAGUGUUGAGCUAAAUCGAGGCAAUAAUGUCCUCUAUUGGAGAACCACGGCCUUCUCGGUGUGGUCCAAAGGUUCCAAGCCCGUGCUGGUGAGAAACAUCGCCAUAACAGGGGUGGCCUACACUUCAGAAUGCUUCCCCUGCAAACCUGGCACCUACGCGGACAAGCAGGGCUCCUCCUCCUGCAAACUGUGCCCAGCCAACACUUACUCAAAUAAAGGAGAAACUACUUGCCACCCUUGUGACCCUGACAAAUACUCAGGAAAAGGAUCCUCCUCCUGCAAAGUUCGUCCGGCCUGCACAGACAAAGAUUACUUUUACACCCACACAGCCUGUGAUGCCAAUGGAGAGACCCAGCUCAUGUACAAAUGGGCCAUGCCGAAAAUCUGUGCCGAGGACCUGGAGGGCGCAGUGCAGCUGCCUGCCUCUGGGGUGAAGACCCGCUGUCCACCCUGCAACCCAGGCUUCUUCAAGACCGCCAACAGCACCUGCGAGCCCUGCCCCUAUGGCUCCUACUCCAACGGCUCCGACUGUGCCCACUGCCCAGCUGGGACUGAACCUGCCGUGGGGUUUGAAUACAAAUGGUGGAACACGCUGCCUGCAAACAUGGAAACGACCGUCCUCAGUGGGAUCAACUUUGAGUACAAGGGCAUGUCAGGCUGGGAGGUGGCUGGCGAUCACAUUUACACAGCUGUUGGAGCCUCAGACAAUGACUUCAUGAUUCUCACUCUGGUCGUGCCAGGAUUUAGACCUCCGCAGUCGCUGAUGGCAGACACGGAGAAUAAAGAGGUCUCCAGAAUCACAUUUGUCUUUGAGACCAUCUGUUCCGUGAACUGUGAGCUCUACUUCAUGGUGGGUGUGAAUUCUAGGACCAACACCCCCGUGGAGACGUGGAAAGGCUCCAAAGGCAAACAGUCCUAUACCUACACCAUUGGGGAGAAUGCAACCAUGAGCUUCACCUGGGCCUUCCAGAGGACCACUUUCCACGAGACAGGCAGAAGGUACACCAAUGACGUUGCCAAGAUCUACUCCAUCAAUAUCACCAAUGUCAUGGGCGGAGUGGCCUCCUACUGCCGUCCCUGUGCCCUGGAAGCCUCUGGCCUGGGCUCCUCCUGCACCUCUUGUCCCGCUGGUUACUACAUCGACCGAGAUUCAGGGACCUGCCACUCCUGCCCUUCCAACACAAUCCUGAGAGCCCACCAGCCUUACGGCGCCCAGGCCUGCACACCCUGUGGUCCAGGGACCAAGAACAAUGAGAUCCACUCUCUGUGCUACAACGACUGCACCUUCUCACGCAACACUCCAGCCAGGACUUUCGACUACAACUUCUCAGCUUUGGCCAACACUUCUUCUCUGUCUGGAGGGCCAAGCUUCACUUCCAAAGGGCUGAAAUAUUUCCACCACUUUACCUUCAGUCUCUGUGGAAACCAGGGGAAGAAAAUGUCUGUGUGCACUGACAAUGUCACUGACCUCCGGAUCCCCGAGGGUGAGUCAGGUUUCUCCAAAUCCAUCACAGCCUAUGUCUGCCAGGCUGUCAUCAUCCCCUCAGAGGUGACAGGCUACAAGGCUGGGGUGUCCUCACAACCUGUUAGCCUUGCGGAUCGACUUAUUGGGGUGACAACAGAUAUGACUCUGGAUGGAAUCACCUCCCCAGCUGAACUUUUCCACCCGGAGUCCUUGGAACUACCGGACGUGAUCUUCUUUUAUAGGUCCAAUGACGUGACCCAGGCCUGCAGUUCUGGGAGGUCAACCACGAUCCGUGUCAGAUGCAAUCCACUGAAAGCUGCCCCUGGAAGUCUGCUGCUGCCAAGCACGUGUUCCGAUGGGACCUGCGACGGCUGUAACUUCCACUUCCUAUGGGAGAGCGUGGCCGCCUGCCCACUCUGCUCUGCCGCUGACUACCACACAUUCGUCAGCAGCUGUGUGGCGGGGAUACAGAAGACGACGUAUGUGUGGCGAGAACCGAAGUUCUGCGCUGGUGGCAUCUCCCUGCCUGAACAGAGGGUCACCAUCUGCAAAACGAUAGAUUUCUGGCUGAAAGUGGGCAUCUCUGCAGGCACCUGUACUGCCAUCCUGCUCACAGUCUUGACCUGCUACUUUUGGAAAAAGAAUCAAAAGCUCGUGUUCUGGUGUCUUGUCUUUCCCACCCCCGAUGCACAGACUAGAGUACAAGUACUCCAAGCUGGUGAUGAACGCCACGCUCAAGGACUGCGACCUGCCUGCGGCGGACAGCUGUGCCAUCAUGGAAGGAGAGGAUGUGGAAGAUGACCUCAUCUUUACCAGCAAGAAGUCACUCUUCGGGAAGAUCAAAUCAUUCACCUCCAAGAGGACCCCUGACGGAUUUGACUCGGUGCCGCUGAAGACCUCCUCGGGAGGCCCUGACAUGGACCUGUGAGGGGCACUGCCCUGCCUCUCCUGCCUCCUCCCCUUGGCACACUACCGUGCCAGCCUGUGGUGAUUUGGGGGCCAGCAGCCCACGACACCCACUGCUGGCAAUCUCUUCAUUGUGGCCUUAACCUAAGAAGUUUGAAUUUCAGAUCUUUGUUUUUUAUAGAGUACCCAUACCCUCCUUUCUGCUUGCCUCUAACCUUCCAAAUAUAGCCACACUUCGUUUGUAUAUGGUUCUCUUACUCGCAUCUCCUUUCUCAGAACGGUCCAGCCACCAGAGCUGUAGCUUUGUCUGCCCAUAAUUCUUACAGCUCUGGAUUGAACAUAUUUCUAUCUUUUAAACUGGAGACACUACUUCGUCCGUCCUCUUACUUAAGGGCAGAAACAUCAGAGAGUCUUCCUGAUCAUAGGCCCUCAGCUCAUGAUCUCUUAAGGAGAGAGGCUGAAUGAGGAGGGUGUUGGGGCUCCCUGAUGGCCAGUCUUCAUGGUAGCCUGGAUUCAUUGCUCCCAAACCACUGGCUCAGACAGUGUAACAGAUAGUCUGAGGGCAAAGUGAGUAAGGCUUGGGUAAGAAACGACUUGCUAAGCACAGAGAGGCAAGAGGAAGGGUGUUCUGUUUCGUUGUUGUAAAUCAGGUACCUCACUCCCUUCUCUUACGUGAUCAAUAUUCUUACUGAAGCCAAAGGAAAAAUUUAUCAAGAAAAUGCCCAGAUCUUGGGUGGAUUUUUCCCCCCUAUUUAUUAUUAUUUUUAAACCAUUUACC
Tupaia belangeri chinensis (Chinese tree shrew) is the source of this 4076-nucleotide RNA transcript. It is a transcript of the gene named endosome-lysosome associated apoptosis and autophagy regulator 1, with no coding region annotated. The transcript is spliced from 23 exons. NCBI's taxonomy places the organism in Eukaryota, Metazoa, Chordata, Mammalia, Scandentia, Tupaiidae. The record is from RefSeq and is a predicted model, not a curated record.